This 84-nucleotide ribosomal RNA is filed under the name Cichorium glandulosum. RNAcentral describes it as "partial 5.8S ribosomal RNA". It matches the Rfam family "5.8S ribosomal RNA", at positions 73 to 154 of the family's 154-position model. From Rfam's summary of the family: 5.8S ribosomal RNA (5.8S rRNA) is a component of the large subunit of the eukaryotic ribosome. It is transcribed by RNA polymerase I as part of the 45S precursor that also contains 18S and 28S rRNA. The record is from RNAcentral. Lineage: Eukaryota; Viridiplantae; Streptophyta; Magnoliopsida; Asterales; Asteraceae.
UGCAGAAUCCCGUGAACCAUCGAGUUUUUGAACGCAAGUUGCGCCCAAAGCCAUCCGGCCGAGGGCACGCCUGCCUGGGCGUCA